This 344-nucleotide unclassified non-coding RNA is filed under the name soil metagenome. RNAcentral describes it as "partial contains 5.8S ribosomal RNA, internal transcribed spacer 2, and large subunit ribosomal RNA". The stretch from base 1 to 119 matches the Rfam family "5.8S ribosomal RNA", at positions 35 to 154 of the family's 154-position model. The record is from RNAcentral.
GAUGAAGAACGUAGUGAAAUGCGAUAAGUAAUGCGAAUUGCAGAAUCCGUGAGUCAUCGAAUCUUUGAACGCAUAUUGCGCCCCCUGGUAUUCCGGGGGGCAUGCCUGUCCGAGCGUCAUUGCUGCCCUCAAGCACGGCUUGUGUGUUGGGCCUCCGUCCUCCUCCCGGGGGACGGGCCCGAAAGGCAGCGGCGGCACCGCGUCCGGUCCUCGAGCGUAUGGGGCUUCGUCACCCGCUCUUGUAGGCCCGGCCGGCGCUUGCCGACACAUCAAUCUUUUUUCCAGGUUGACCUCGGAUCAGGUAGGGAUACCCGCUGAACUUAAGCAUAUCAAUAAGCGGAGGA